GACGAACGCUGGCGGCGUGCCUAAUACAUGCAAGUUGAGCGAUGAAGAUUGGUGCUUGCACCAAUUUGAAGAGCAGCGAACGGGUGAGUAACGCGUGGGGAAUCUGCCUUUGAGCGGGGGACAACAUUUGGAAACGAAUGCUAAUACCGCAUAACAACUUUAAACAUAAGUUUUAAGUUUGAAAGAUGCAAUUGCAUCACUCAAAGAUGAUCCCGCGUUGUAUUAGCUAGUUGGUGAGGUAAAGGCUCACCAAGGCGAUGAUACAUAGCCGACCUGAGAGGGUGAUCGGCCACAUUGGGACUGAGGCACGGCCCAAACUCCUACGGGAGGCAGCAGUAGGGAAUCUUCGGCAAUGGACGAAAGUCUGACCGAGCAACGCCGCGUGAGUGAAGAAGGUUUUCGGAUCGUAAAACUCUGCUGGUAGAGAAGAACGUUGGUGAGAGUGGAAAGCUCAUCAAGUGACGGUAACUACCCAGAAAGGGACGGCUAACUACGUG
RNAcentral lists this ribosomal RNA (497 nucleotides) under uncultured bacterium. RNAcentral's name for it is "partial 16S ribosomal RNA". It matches the Rfam family "Bacterial small subunit ribosomal RNA", at positions 28 to 507 of the family's 1533-position model. The record is from RNAcentral.